This 784-nucleotide ribosomal RNA is filed under the name uncultured soil bacterium. Its description in RNAcentral is "bacterial SSU rRNA". It matches the Rfam family "Bacterial small subunit ribosomal RNA", at positions 8 to 785 of the family's 1533-position model. The record is from RNAcentral.
AGAGUUUGAUCCUGGCUCAGAUUGAACGCUGGCGGCAUGCCUUACACAUGCAAGUCGAGCGGCAGCGCGGGGGCAACCCUGGCGGCGAGCGGCGAACGGGUGAGCAACACAUCGGAACGUGUCCUGGAGUGGGGGAUAGCUCGGCGAAAGCCGGAUUAAUACCGCAUACGCUCUACGGAGGAAAGCGGGGGAUCCGCAAGGACCUCGCGCUGCAGGAGUGGCCGAUGUCGGAUUAGCUAGUUGGCGGGGUAAAAGCCCACCAAGGCGACGAUCCGUAGCUGGUCUGAGAGGAUGAUCAGCCACACUGGAACUGAGACACGGUCCAGACUCCUACGGGAGGCAGCAGUGGGGAAUUUUGGACAACGGGGGAAACCCUGAUCCAGCCAUGCCGCGUGCGGGAAGAAGGCCUUCGGGUUGUAAACCGCUUUCGGCCGGAACGAAAUGGGCGAGGUGAACAAUCUCGCUCGAUGACGGUACCGGAAGAAGAAGCACCGGCUAACUACGUGCCAGCAGCCGCGGUAAUACGUAGGGUGCGAGCGUUAAUCGGAAUUACUGGGCGUAAAGCGUGCGCAGGCGGCCCCUUAAGACAGGUGUGAAAUCCCCGAGCUUAACUUGGGAAUGGCGCUUGUGACUGGGGGGCUGGAGUGCGGAAGAGGGAGAUGGAAUUCCUGGUGUAGCAGUGAAAUGCGUAGAGAUCAGGAGGAACACCGAUGGCGAAAGCAGUCUUCUGGGCCAGCACUGACGCUCAUGCACGAAAGCGUGGGGAGCAAACAGGAUUAGAUAC